Molecule: small nuclear RNA, 161 nt
Filed under: Nicotiana attenuata
Lineage: Eukaryota; Viridiplantae; Streptophyta; Magnoliopsida; Solanales; Solanaceae
Description: snRNA U1
Rfam family: U1 spliceosomal RNA
About the family: U1 is a small nuclear RNA (snRNA) component of the spliceosome (involved in pre-mRNA splicing).
Source: Rfam by way of RNAcentral
AUACUUACCUGGACGGGGUCAAUGGGCAAUCAAUAAGACCCAUGGCCUAGGUUGGUGACCUCCAUUGCACUUUGGAGGGGUGCCCGCCUAAGGUUGACCCAAGUGGUCGAGCCUAUGUCAUAAUUUGUGACAGCGGGGUCUUGCGUUCGCGCAGCCCCUAC